UUUACUUCUACUCCGUCAAUUCUGUUUCGCUUCGUGCAAAGUUCCUAAGAAUUAGCCCACGCAAGAAUUUCCCCGAACCGACUCUAUAGCCUUGACUUACCAGUUUUCCCACCUCAUUUCGCAUACCCACAUCCACCGUUUCUUUAUCACAGUUUUUCUGGGUGAUACAUGCCAUCAUGGGCCAACACCAGAUUCCUCUCAGGAACCAUGUUCCAGAUUCCUCGGAUAUCGAGUCAGACAGUGAUAGCAAUCCGCCGAUCGGGAAGGGAAACAACUCCAUUGAUGUGAUAUCGAGGACAAUGAAAGCCCUAGUGAAGAAGAUCCAAGACCUUCGCCAUCUGGGGAUUGAAAACCAUAAACUU
Molecule: small RNA, 362 nt
Filed under: Histoplasma capsulatum
Lineage: Eukaryota; Fungi; Ascomycota; Eurotiomycetes; Onygenales; Ajellomycetaceae
Also listed under: 1 other name
Description: hypothetical RNA
Source: RNAcentral